RNAcentral lists this ribosomal RNA (129 nucleotides) under Thermoanaerobacter sp. enrichment culture clone CX4. RNAcentral's name for it is "partial 16S ribosomal RNA". It matches the Rfam family "Bacterial small subunit ribosomal RNA", at positions 342 to 488 of the family's 1533-position model. The record is from RNAcentral. Lineage: Bacteria; Bacillati; Bacillota; Clostridia; Thermoanaerobacterales; Thermoanaerobacteraceae.
CGGGAGGCAGCAGUGGGGAAUCUUCCGCAAUGGGCGAAAGCCUGACGGAGCGACGCCGCGUGAGCGAAGAAGGCCUUCGGGUCGUAAAGCUCGAUAGUGUGGAAGAAGGAAUGACGUACCACACGAAGU